RNAcentral lists this transfer RNA (73 nucleotides) under Desmophyllum pertusum. RNAcentral describes it as "Lophelia pertusa tRNA". It matches the Rfam family "tRNA". Rfam says of the family: Transfer RNA (tRNA) molecules are approximately 80 nucleotides in length. Their secondary structure includes four short double-helical elements and three loops (D, anti-codon, and T loops). The record is from Rfam by way of RNAcentral. Lineage: Eukaryota; Metazoa; Cnidaria; Anthozoa; Scleractinia; Caryophylliidae.
GGCUUCAUAGCUCAGUUGGUAGAGCAUCCCACUGGUAUCGCGGAGGUCAUGGGUUCGAAUCCCGUUGAAGCCG